Long non-coding RNA from Aedes albopictus (Asian tiger mosquito), 346 nucleotides. RefSeq lists it as uncharacterized. The record is from RefSeq and is a predicted model, not a curated record. NCBI's taxonomy places the organism in Eukaryota, Metazoa, Arthropoda, Insecta, Diptera, Culicidae. The transcript is spliced from 2 exons.
AAACGGAUAUCACAAAAAGGGUAAAAAAAUACCCGUUGUUGAAAACAGCUUUGCUACCCAUUAAUGGGUGAAAAAUAGUUGUGAACAUUUUUACAAACACGCCACAUUUUGGUCUCGUUAGCUGAACAGGACUGAACAUUUUCCUGCAACCAAAAUACGAAUAAAAUGGCAGAGAUAAAAGAAAUAUAGCAACAAGAAUGAUGACAUCUGCGACGAUUGGCGAACCAUCCUGGAAGCGGCACCAUCAAGGGCACCAUCCUCAUCAAUAAUUGGAAUUUCGAACAAUUUAAUUAUCAAAUAUGUGAUUGACAAUCAUCUCUGUAAUAAAAAUAAUAGGAGGAAUAUA